Molecule: ribosomal RNA, 252 nt
Filed under: uncultured Bacteroidales bacterium
Lineage: Bacteria; Pseudomonadati; Bacteroidota; Bacteroidia; Bacteroidales
Description: partial 16S ribosomal RNA
Rfam family: Bacterial small subunit ribosomal RNA
Source: RNAcentral
UACGGAGGAUGCGAGCGUUAUCCGGAUUUAUUGGGUUUAAAGGGUGCGUAGGCGGAAUAUCAAGUCAGCGGUAAAAAUUCGGGGCUCAACCCCGUCGUGCCGUUGAAACUGAUGUUCUUGAGUGGGCGAGAAGUAUGCGGAAUGCGCAGUGUAGCGGUGAAAUGCUUAGAUAUUAGGAAGAACACCAGUGGCGAAGGCGGCUUUCUGGACUGAAACUGACGCUGAGGCACGAAAGCGUGGGGAGCGAACAGG